UCUCCUGGAAAACGGGUGGUAAUGCCGGAUGCUCCAUCACACCGCAUGGUGUGUUGGGAAAGCCUUUGCGGCAUGGGAUGGGGUCGCGUCCUAUCAGCUUGAUGGCGGGGUAACGGCCCACCAUGGCUUCGACGGGUAGCCGGCCUGAGAGGGCGACCGGCCACAUUGGGACUGAGAUACGGCCCAGACUCCUACGGGAGGCAGCAGUGGGGAAUAUUGCACAAUGGGCGCAAGCCUGAUGCAGCGACGCCGCGUGAGGGAUGGAGGCCUUCGGGUUGUAAACCUCUUUUAUCAGGGAGCAAGGCUUCGGUUGAGUGUACCUGUUGAAUAAGCACCGGCUAACUACGUGCCAGCAGCCGCGGUAAUACGUAGGGUGCAAGCGUUAUCCGGAAUUAUUGGGCGUAAAGGGCUCGUAGGCGGUUCGUCGCGUCCGGUGUGAAAGUCCAUCGCUUAACGGUGGAUCCGCGCCGGGUACGGGCGGGCUUGAGUGCGGUAGGGGAGACUGGAAUUCCCGGUGUAACGGUGGAAUGUGUAGAUA
RNAcentral lists this ribosomal RNA (538 nucleotides) under Bifidobacterium breve. Its description in RNAcentral is "bacterial SSU rRNA". It matches the Rfam family "Bacterial small subunit ribosomal RNA", at positions 146 to 696 of the family's 1533-position model. Lineage: Bacteria; Bacillati; Actinomycetota; Actinomycetes; Bifidobacteriales; Bifidobacteriaceae. The record is from RNAcentral.